RNAcentral lists this ribosomal RNA (1002 nucleotides) under Triticum aestivum (bread wheat). RNAcentral's name for it is "partial small subunit ribosomal RNA". The record is from RNAcentral. Lineage: Eukaryota; Viridiplantae; Streptophyta; Magnoliopsida; Poales; Poaceae.
GUUCUCGGGGAACAAAAGAGGCCGUUGGUCAGUCUUUGGGGACUAGCUGUUCGUUUCCCUACUACUUGGAAGAGGCUUCUUUUGAAGUCUCGAACGCUCCACCUGUUUUCUACGAAGCGCCGCUUCCGUUCUGUCCGGUUCUCGUGCGCCUCUCCGGCUUCGUCCCCCUGUGCAGCGCGUGUGUCGGCGUGCCAGUAAUAAUUCGGUGGAGGGUUAGGUGAGGUGCCGCUACUUCUGGCUUAGGGGCGCGGUAGAGGCAUUGGGAGACGAGCGGGAGGAGAAGGAGCGUCGUCGUCGUCGCAGCCGUCGGGUCUAGCGGUACCGCCGGCUCGGCCUCGUCGUCCGCGGGCGCCGCGUCCUCCGCCGGCACGUGUAGCACAUGCAGCUGGCGGGGCUCCUGCGGCUGGGGCUCCUCAAGGUGUAGGCGUGGGAGCGGGGGCAGGAGCCGUCGCUCCUCUUCCGGUCCCCGCGGCAGGAGAUGGUGAUGUUCGUGCGGCGGUCGCCUAAGAGGCGUUUCGAGUGGUGGCUCGUCCAGCUCCUGGAGUUCUUCGUUGGUCCACAGGAAGUCCAACACGGCUCGGUCUGGAUGGUCGAGGUACCUGUACUCCCACCUGUACGGUCGUGUUGCGCGUGUUACCCGGAAUACACUUUCGGAACUCAUCCGAGACAAGAAGAUUAUACCCUUACCAACGUAGAGUACCGACAUUGGAUUCUUAUUCUCUACAUAGGUGAACUGAAACUUCCCUAGGUCAAGGACUUCACACAUUUACAUUACUUGAUUACGUAUGUUCAAACUCAAUUAUACUACCGUUUGUUUACACGACUAGAUUAGAACGAACCCAUGUUCAAACUUAAUUACACUAUCGUUUGACUACACGAGCAGUAGACCGACCCAACGAGCACAUCAAAACCGAGUACUCAACAAAUACCUAGAGUGGCUUACGUGGGACGAUAAAACAUGGUAACGUACUUUUAAAACCGAUCUUCUACUUAACAACAGCG